RNAcentral lists this ribosomal RNA (492 nucleotides) under uncultured bacterium. RNAcentral's name for it is "partial 16S ribosomal RNA". It matches the Rfam family "Bacterial small subunit ribosomal RNA", at positions 29 to 507 of the family's 1533-position model. The record is from RNAcentral.
AGUGAACGCUGGCGGUAGGCCUAACACAUGCAAGUCGAACGGCAGCACAGUAAGAGCUUGCUCUUACGGGUGGCGAGUGGCGGACGGGUGAGGAAUACAUCGGAAUCUACUUUUUCGUGGGGGAUAACGUAGGGAAACUUACGCUAAUACCGCAUACGACCUACGGGUGAAAGCAGGGGAUCUUCGGACCUUGCGCGAUUGAAUUAGCCGAUGUCGGAUUAGCUAGUUGGCGGGGUAAAGGCCCACCAAGGCGACGAUCCGUAGCUGGUCUGAGAGGAUGAUCAGCCACACUGGAACUGAGACACGGUCCAGACUCCUACGGGAGGCAGCAGUGGGGAAUCUUGGACAAUGGGCGCAAGCCUGAUCCAGCCAUACCGCGUGGGUGAAGAAGGCCUUCGGGUUGUAAAACCCUGUUGUUGGGAAAGAAAAGCAGCAGGUUAAUCCCCCGCUGUUCUGACGGUACCCAAAGAAUAAGCACCGGCUAACUUCGUG